CCUACGGGGGGCAGCAGUGGGGAAUAUUGCACAAUGGGGGGAACCCUGAUGCAGCGACGCCGCGUGGGUGAAGGAGGGUUUCGGCGCGUAAAGCCCUAUCGGCAGGGAAGAAGAUGACGGUACCUGACCAAGAAGCCCCGGCUAACUACGUGCCAGCAGCCGCGGUAACACGUAGGGGGCAAGCGUUAUCCGGAUUUACUGGGGGUAAAGGGGGCGCAGACGGCAAUGCAAGCCAGGAGUGAAAGCCCGGGGCCCAACCCCGGGACUGCUCUUGGAACUGCAUGGCUGGAGUGCAGGAGGGGCAGGCGGAAUUCCUGGUGUAGCGGUGAAAUGCGUAGAUAUUAGGAGGAACGCCGGUGGCGAAGGCGGCCUGCUGGACUUUGACUGACGUUGAGGCCCGAAGGCGUGGGGAGCAAACAGGAUUAGAUACCCCGGUAGUC
Molecule: ribosomal RNA, 440 nt
Filed under: uncultured bacterium
Lineage: Bacteria
Description: partial 16S ribosomal RNA
Rfam family: Bacterial small subunit ribosomal RNA
Source: RNAcentral